RNAcentral lists this ribosomal RNA (467 nucleotides) under uncultured bacterium. RNAcentral's name for it is "SSU rRNA". It matches the Rfam family "Bacterial small subunit ribosomal RNA", at positions 26 to 518 of the family's 1533-position model. The record is from RNAcentral.
AGAAUGAACGUUGGCGGCGUGGAUUAGGCAUGCAAGUCGUACGGGCCGCAAGGCCAGUGGCGCAAGGGUGAGUAAGGCGACGGUAACCAACCCCAUGACUGGGUAUAGCCGCGGGAAACUGCGGGUAAUCCCCAGCGACGUCCCGGGGGGCAUCCCCUAGGGACCAAAGCUCCGGCGUCGUGGGACGGGCUGUCGUGGUAUUAGGUAGUUGGCGGGGUAAUGGCCCACCAAGCCUGCGAUGCCUACCGGGCGUGCGAGCGUGGCCCGGCACACUGGGACUGAGACACUGCCCAGACUCCUACGGGAGGCUGCAGUCGAGAAUCUCGGCAAUGGGCGCAAGCCUGACCGAGCGACGCCGCGUGGAGGAUGAAGGCCUUGGGUUGUAAACUCCUGUCGAGGGGAAGAGGGUCGAAAGACCUUGACUGAUCCCUGGAGGAAGCACGGGCUAAGUUCGUGCCAGCAGCCGC